Molecule: ribosomal RNA, 377 nt
Filed under: uncultured eukaryote
Lineage: Eukaryota
Description: partial 18S ribosomal RNA
Rfam family: Eukaryotic small subunit ribosomal RNA
Source: RNAcentral
CAAUAGCGUAUAUUUAAGUUGUUGCAGUUAAAAAGCUCGUAGUUGGAUUUCGGGUGGGACGCAGCGGUCUCGCAUUGCGUUUGUACUGCUGCAGCCCUCCUUCUUGCCGGGGGCGGCCUCUCGGACUUCACUGUCUGGGGGUCAGAAUCGGCGAUGUUACUUUGAGUAAAUUAGAGUGUUCAAAGCAAGCUUACGCUCUGAAUAUAAUAGCAUGGGAUAACACGACAGGACUCUGGCCUAUCGUGUUGGUCUAUAGGACCAGAGUAAUGAUUAAGAGGGACAGUCGGGGGCAUUCGUAUUCCGUUGUCAGAGGUGAAAUUCUUGGACUUACGGAAGACGAACAUCUGCGAAAGCAUUUGCCAAGGAUGUUUUCAUUG